Molecule: ribosomal RNA, 401 nt
Filed under: uncultured bacterium
Lineage: Bacteria
Description: bacterial SSU rRNA
Rfam family: Bacterial small subunit ribosomal RNA
Source: RNAcentral
AUUGAACGCUGGCGGCAGGCCUAACACAUGCAAGUCGAGCGGCAGCGGGAAAGUAGCUUGCUACUUUUGCCGGCGAGCGGCGGACGGGUGAGUAAUGCCUGGGGAUCUGCCCAGUCGAGGGGGAUAACAGUUGGAAACGACUGCUAAUACCGCAUACGCCCUACGGGGGAAAGGAGGGGGACCUUCGGGCCUUUCGCGAUUGGAUGAACCCAGGUGGGAUUAGCUAGUUGGUGGGGUAAUGGCUCACCAAGGCGACGAUCCCUAGCUGGUCUGAGAGGAUGAUCAGCCACACUGGAACUGAGACACGGUCCAGACUCCUACGGGAGGCAGCAGUGGGGAAUAUUGCACAAUGGGGGAAACCCUGAUGCAGCCAUGCCGCGUGUGUGAAGAAGGCCUUCGGG